AUUGAACGCUGGCGGCAGGCUUAACACAUGCAAGUCGAGCGGGGGAAGGUAGCUUGCUACCGGACCUAGCGGCGGACGGGUGAGUAAUGCUUAGGAAUCUGCCUAUUAGUGGGGGACAACAUCUCGAAAGGGAUGCUAAUACCGCAUACGUCCUACGGGAGAAAGCAGGGGAUCUUCGGACCUUGCGCUAAUAGAUGAGCCUAAGUCGGAUUAGCUAGUUGGUGGGGUAAAGGCCUACCAAGGCGACGAUCUGUAGCGGGUCUGAGAGGAUGAUCCGCCACACUGGGACUGAGACACGGCCCAGACUCCUACGGGAGGCAGCAGUGGGGAAUAUUGGACAAUGGGGGGAACCCUGAUCCAGCCAUGCCGCGUGUGUGAAGAAGGCCUUAUGGUUGUAAAGCACUUUAAGCGAGGAGGAGGCUACUUUAGUUAAUACCUAGAGAUAGUGGACGUUACUCGCAGAAUAAGCACCGGCUAACUCUGUGCCAGCAGCCGCGGUAAUACAGAGGGUGCGAGCGUUAAUCGGAUUUACUGGGCGUAAAGCGUGCGUAGGCGGCUUAUUAAGUCGGAUGUGAAAUCCCCGAGCUUAACUUGGGAAUUGCAUUCGAUACUGGUGAGCUAGAGUAUGGGAGAGGAUGGUAGAAUUCCAGGUGUAGCGGUGAAAUGCGUAGAGAUCUGGAGGAAUACCGAUGGCGAAGGCAGCCAUCUGGCCUAAUACUGACGCUGAGGUACGAAAGCA
RNAcentral lists this ribosomal RNA (739 nucleotides) under Acinetobacter baumannii OIFC137. RNAcentral describes it as "bacterial SSU rRNA". It matches the Rfam family "Bacterial small subunit ribosomal RNA", at positions 28 to 761 of the family's 1533-position model. The record is from RNAcentral. Lineage: Bacteria; Pseudomonadati; Pseudomonadota; Gammaproteobacteria; Moraxellales; Moraxellaceae.